CGUGAUUGGCCAAUCAGAUGACCGGGGUACGUCUCUUCUCCGUGCCCCAUCUCUGUUCAGGUUCCAUUCCUGUUCCGCCUUGGAUCAGGUUACCGGGGAGCGGUGCUUUUUUCCCUUUCAGCCAAUGAGAGGGCUGCAAGGGAGCAUUUCGAAAAAGCCAGGUACAAAGGGAAAGAUGGGCAUGGUGCUGCUGGGACAACUUACCUUAAGUCAGACUGUGAGUCACAGCCUGCCUGUUGAAGACCAUUUAACAGGUGCCUGUACACAUCUACAUUUUACUUUUUACAGUGGAAUCUACACAACGUCAUCAUUCAACUGUUCUUCUCUCUUUUCCCUCUAUUUCUUCAAUUUCUUCUUAGACUACAACAUUUUGUUUAAAAAAAAUUAGAACAC
This is a long non-coding RNA of Rhineura floridana, 393 nucleotides long. RefSeq lists it as uncharacterized. The transcript has 3 exons. The record is from RefSeq and is a predicted model, not a curated record. NCBI's taxonomy places the organism in Eukaryota, Metazoa, Chordata, Lepidosauria, Squamata, Rhineuridae.